GCGGCAGUCGGGACCAGGAGAAUCGGACAGAAACCAGCCUCAGAGUCCGGGGCAGGAGCCGUUGACGGCCGCCCCUCAGCGCUGCGCUUCGGGUUGGGUUAAGUUCCCAAGGCGUCCUCAGACCACGGCGGAGCUUCAAACGCCCCAGUCCCGAAGACAGGCAGGGGGUCCCUCUGCUUCGCAGGGAUGACAGGCUGGCCCCGACGACCCCGGCCCCGUCCCGCCGCCCUCACCCGCUGAAGAGAUCGGGGAGAUCGAAGAAGGUUCUAGAAAGUCUCCGUGGACGACGGGCGCCGGGCGGCCGCUUACCUUGGUGUACUUGAUUUCGAGAUUGGGCGUGGGCGACGGCAGGAGGUGCAGGGACGCCAUGAGGGCGGCGGGGUCGGCCUUCACCUCGCCGGGCAUCUCUAUCUUGCUGGAAGUCAUGGUGGCGGGCCGGGUGUCCCUAGCCCGCGGCGUGGGGCAGUGCGGGCUGUGCGCGCGGUCCGCGGCCCGGGGGCGCGCUCGCCUGUAUAUAGGUGUAAACCAAGAACCUAGAGACCCUGCCUCAGAAUGGGCUUUGGACUCCGUGGACUAAAUCAAGGCCGCAUGGAAAGACCUGCAUAAGUCCCUUCCCUUCCUUACUCCUUACUCCAAAUGGACCCCAGGAGACUAUUUUAAACAUGGGAACUAGAUUUGCCUUUGUUGUAAAGCCCAGUUCCAUUUCGUAUAUGUUCGAGAAGCUUCAAUUUGGGUACUGGGAUGAGCGCAAUACUUCAUCAAUAAUCACACUUAACAGACAGGAAGAAAUUAAAAUUCCAGCUACACCGCCUUUUCUGAAGGGCCUGCGGGAAAAGGCAUUGGCGCCCCCUGCAGUUGAUGGUGUGUAUGUGCAA
RNAcentral lists this non-coding RNA (875 nucleotides) under Pan troglodytes (chimpanzee). Lineage: Eukaryota; Metazoa; Chordata; Mammalia; Primates; Hominidae. The record is from RNAcentral.